Molecule: long non-coding RNA, 1331 nt
Organism: Homo sapiens (human)
Lineage: Eukaryota; Metazoa; Chordata; Mammalia; Primates; Hominidae
Product: long intergenic non-protein coding RNA 2177
Source: Ensembl
UCCAUGAGCAAACAGCGUGGACCAAAACAGUCCCCAGGAGAGGCUGGUGCAGGAAGGCUCAGACACUGUGUUCUCUGACAUAAUUUAUAGACGGGGUCUCACCUUGUUGCCUAGGCUGGUCUCGAACUUCUGACCUCAAGUGAUCCACCCACCCCCGCCUCUCCAAGUGUGGAAUUACAGAGGCCCAUGGCAUAUGUGGGGAACUGAGAGGUCUUUGGUCAACAGUCACUGGGGACCUGGGUCCCGCCAACAACCACAUGAUUCAUUUUGGAAGCAGAUCCUCCCCUACAUGAGCCUUCAGAUGAUCACAGCCACAUAUGACAGCUUGAUGGCAACCUCAUGAGAGAGACAGAACUGAAACCACCCUGAUUCCUGACCCACAGAAAUUGGCUUCUAUGAGGCUGUCUUGUAGGAUGCCCAUGACGAUCCUCCAGACACUAAGAUGAGAAAACUAAGGCCCAAAGGGACACCUGGCUUUCCUAAGACCUGUAAGUGGAAGAGUCAGCAUUUGAAUGGAGAACUCGCAGCUUUCGGAGUCUAGACUUGUUUUACCUCACCAGACUGCUUCUACUCCUAGUGAUUCCUUCCCUUAGAUUAAGCCUUGCUCUCUUCCCGUGCAAUCAUGAAGAGGAUUAUAUUAGUAAAUCCCUGAACAUUCCCUGAUUGGGGAGUGAGGGUCAAACCAAGGCAAAUGGCAGGAUUGACACUCACAUCAAGGGCUGGCUCAUUAAGGGCUCGGGACCUGGCGAUCGAGUUGCAUUGCAGAUUUUGGAAGUAUGCAAGACCACGCCAGCCACCUUUCCAGGGAGAGACCAUGCAAAGAAGGCAGGUGAUCCAAGGGCUGGGAGUGGUGAGGACUGCUCCAGCCCCUGAGCAGCUGUCAUCCCAGCACAAAGUGUCAGAAGAGACCUCAAAGUGUGGUCUGCAGACGAGGCAGCAUCUGCAUCACCUGGGAGCUUGUUAGAAAUGCAGAAUCUUCUGAGAGAACCAGACCUGCUGCAUCAAAAUCUGCAUUUUAACAAGAUUGUAACUUAGAUACACAGUAACACUUAAAAAGGAUGGGGCAGAGAGGCUAAGUCAGCAGCUUCUCAUCACACUCCAAUCUGAUGCUGCUAGUGCUCCAAAAAGCUCUCAUAUCCUCACUGACUAGCCUAGGGCUGUGUCUAUCAAUGCAUUAUAUGACACAGAUGAAGACUAUUGUGUACCUUCCUCAAUUUUUACCCCAUUGUUUCAGCCUUUUGUACAUCUUUAAUGCAAACAUCCAUGCGAGAAUUCUUGUGACAUUAAUUUUUUGGAACAACCUGUUUUGCAGAGCAAAUUUCAUUAAGCCA